GGCCUUAUAUUAGCAUUGAACAUCAACUGCUAGAGAGAGUCUUUAAAGAUGAAAUGCAGCAACCAGGAAUAGUGGAUCACGUUCACCAUUUAAAUUCAAGUUCAUGCAGCUUUCCUUUUGCAAGAAUAAGGAAACUGUAUACAUUUCAUUUGUCAAUUACAAGGUAUGUAUCAUUUAGCAAUAAAGAGAACCAAGCUGCUUGACAAUCUACAGUACUAAGUUGUUCAAAAUGUUGGGAGAAAAGGCAAAAGAACUAACAAAAUUUUGGCAGUUGGCACUGCUCAUCUUCCAUUAUCUCAUUUUCUACAUGUACAUUGUUGCAAACCCUUAUAUAUCUCUCAUUACAAAGUGUGUCUGAGAAAGCAAAGAGG
Molecule: unclassified non-coding RNA, 371 nt
Filed under: Hevea brasiliensis (rubber tree)
Lineage: Eukaryota; Viridiplantae; Streptophyta; Magnoliopsida; Malpighiales; Euphorbiaceae
Source: RNAcentral